Molecule: ribosomal RNA, 236 nt
Filed under: uncultured Anaerolineaceae bacterium
Lineage: Bacteria; Bacillati; Chloroflexota; Anaerolineae; Anaerolineales; Anaerolineaceae
Description: partial 16S ribosomal RNA
Rfam family: Bacterial small subunit ribosomal RNA
Source: RNAcentral
GGACUGCCGGUAAAAGCCGGAGGAAGGUGAGGAUGAUGUCAAGUCAGCAUGACCUUUAUAUCCAGGGCUACACACACGCUACAAUGGUCUGUACAAUGGGUAGCCAAGCCGCGAGGCGGAGCCAAUCCUGAAAGCAGGCCUCAGUUCAGAUUGCAGUCUGCAACUCGACUGCAUGAAGCCGGAGUUGCUAGUAACCGCAGGUCAGCAAUACUGCGGUGAAUACGUUCCCGGGUCUU